UACGGAGGGAGCUAGCGUUGUUCGGAAUUACUGGGCGUAAAGCGCACGUAGGCGGCUACUCAAGUCAGAGGUGAAAGCCCGGGGCUCAACCCCGGAACUGCCUUUGAAACUAGGUAGCUAGAAUCUUGGAGAGGUCAGUGGAAUUCCGAGUGUAGAGGUGAAAUUCGUAGAUAUUCGGAAGAACACCAGUGGCGAAGGCGACUGACUGGACAAGUAUUGAUGCUGAGGUGCGAAAGCGUGGGGAGCAAACAGG
RNAcentral lists this ribosomal RNA (253 nucleotides) under uncultured bacterium. RNAcentral's name for it is "partial 16S ribosomal RNA". It matches the Rfam family "Bacterial small subunit ribosomal RNA", at positions 524 to 776 of the family's 1533-position model. The record is from RNAcentral.